RNAcentral lists this ribosomal RNA (717 nucleotides) under uncultured bacterium. RNAcentral's name for it is "bacterial SSU rRNA". It matches the Rfam family "Bacterial small subunit ribosomal RNA", at positions 28 to 745 of the family's 1533-position model. The record is from RNAcentral.
AGUGAACGUUGGCGGCAUGGAUGAGGCAUGCAAGUCGAGCGGAGUAGCAAUACUCAGCGACGAAAGGGGCAGUAAGGCAUGGUUAACCUACCCCUUGAGUGGGGGAUAGCCUCGGGAAACCGGGAUUAAUACCGCAUAAGACCACAGGGACGCAUGUUCCAGAGGUCAAAGGGACUAGUGCUCGCUUGAGGAGGGGGCCAUGUGAUAUCAGCUAGUUGGUGAGGUAAUGGCUCACCAAGGCUACGACGUCUAGCAGGUUUGAGAGGAUGGCCUGCGCCACCGGGACUGAGACACUGCCCCGGACAUCUACGGAUGGCUGCAGUCGAGAAUAAUUGUCAAUGGGCGAAAGCCUGAACGUGCGAUGCCGCGUGUGGGAUGAAGGCGGACACCGUUGUAAACCACUGUCAGGGGCUAAGAAUAAACCGAGUGACCCUCGGCGAUGACGUUAACCCCAAAGGCAAGUCGCAGCUAACUACGUGCCAGCAGCUGCGGUAAUACGUAGGCGACGAACGUUACUCGGAAUCACUGGGCUUAAAGGGCGUGUAGGCGGCCUUACAAGUUAGAGUUGAAAAUCCGGCGGCUCAACCGUCGAACUGGCUCUAAUACUGUCGGGCUCGAAUACUGCAGGGAUGCUGGAACUCUUGGUGGAGCGGUGGAAUGCGCAGAUAUCAAGAGGAACACCGAUGGCGAAGGCAGGCAUCUGGGCAUGUAUUGACG